Molecule: ribosomal RNA, 859 nt
Filed under: uncultured Anaerococcus sp.
Lineage: Bacteria; Bacillati; Bacillota; Tissierellia; Tissierellales; Peptoniphilaceae
Description: bacterial SSU rRNA
Rfam family: Bacterial small subunit ribosomal RNA
Source: RNAcentral
GAUUAACGCUGGCGGCGUGCAUAACACAUGCAAGUCGAACGAUGAAACUUUUUUGAUUUCUUCGGAAUGAUUAAAAGUGGAUUAGUGGCGGACGGGUGAGUAACGCGUGAGUAACCUGCCUUAGAGAAGGGGAUAGCCUUUGGAAACGAAGAAUAAUACCCUAUGAAACCAUAACCUCGCAUGAGGCCUUGGUCAAAGAUUUAUCGCUCUAAGAUGGACUUGCGUCUGAUUAGUUAGUUGGUGGGGUAACGGCCCACCAAGACAGCGAUCAGUAGCCGGCUUGAGAGAGUGUACGGCCACAUUGGGACUGAGACACGGCCCAGACUCCUACGGGAGGCAGCAGUGGGGAAUUUUGCACAAUGGGGGAAACCCUGAUGCAGCGACGCCGCGUGAUUUAGAAGGCCUUCGGGUUGUAAAAAUCUUUUCUAUGGGAAGAAAAUGACAGUACCAUAGGAAUAAGGACCGGCUAAUUACGUGCCAGCAGCCGCGGUAAUACGUAAGGUCCGAGCGUUGUCCGGAAUCAUUGGGCGUAAAGGGUACGUAGGCGGGUAAGCAAGUUAGAAGUGAAAUCCUAUAGCUCAACUAUAGUAAGCUUUUAAAACUGCUCAUCUUGAGGUAUGGAAGGGAAAGUGGAAUUCCUAGUGUAGCGGUGAAAUGCGCAGAUAUUAGGAGGAAUACCGGUGGCGAAAGCGACUUUCUGGCCAUAACCUGACGCUGAGGUACGAAGCGUGGGUAGCAAACAGGAUUAGAUACCCUGGUAGUCCAAGGGCGAAUUCCACAGUGGAUAUCAAGCUUAUCGAUACCGUCGACCUCGAGGGGGGGCCCGGUACUACAGCUUUUGUUCCCUUUAUGAGGGUUA